CCUACGGGAGGCAGCAGUGAGGAAUAUUGGUCAAUGGGCUUACGCCUGAACCAGCCAAGUCGCGUGAGGGAAGACUGCCCUAUGGGUUGUAAACCUCUUUUGUCAGGGAGCAAUUGGCGCUACGUGUAGCGUUAUCGAGAGUACCUGAAGAAAAAGCAUCGGCUAACUCCGUGCCAGCAGCCGCGGUAAUACGGAGGAUGCGAGCGUUAUCCGGAUUUAUUGGGUUUAAAGGGUGCGUAGGCGGAAUGCCAAGUCAGCGGUAAAAUCGCGGGGCCCAACCUCGCUCCGCCGUUGAAACUGGCGGUCUUGAGUGGGGGAGAAGUAUGCGGAAUGCGUGGUGUAGCGGUGAAAUGCAUAGAUAUCACGCAGAACUCCGAUUGCGAAGGCAGCAUACCGGCGCCCAACUGACGCUGAAGCACGAAAGCGUGGGUAUCGAACAGGAUUAGAUACCCGAGUAGUC
This 460-nucleotide ribosomal RNA is filed under the name uncultured bacterium. RNAcentral describes it as "partial 16S ribosomal RNA". It matches the Rfam family "Bacterial small subunit ribosomal RNA", at positions 338 to 795 of the family's 1533-position model. The record is from RNAcentral.